CGUCGGUCCCCUCGCAACGGAAACUUGUGAACCUGGUCAGGCCCGGAAGGGAGCAGCCACAGCAAGCGGAUCGUGUGCCGAGGUGUGGCUGGCGGGG
Molecule: signal recognition particle RNA, 97 nt
Filed under: Oceanospirillum multiglobuliferum
Lineage: Bacteria; Pseudomonadati; Pseudomonadota; Gammaproteobacteria; Oceanospirillales; Oceanospirillaceae
Description: Bacterial small signal recognition particle RNA
Rfam family: Bacterial small signal recognition particle RNA
About the family: The signal recognition particle (SRP) is a universally conserved ribonucleoprotein involved in the co-translational targeting of proteins to membranes. Archaeal SRP consists of a 7S RNA and homologues of the eukaryotic SRP19 and SRP54 proteins.
Source: Rfam by way of RNAcentral